CCUAUGUCUUUGCACCGCGUCGCACAAGUACAAGGUACAUAAACAGGAUACAACCAGCACAACUGAAUAUACAAACAUUCAUACUUUCAUACGUUCAUACACCAUUCACAACAGAUUCACAUUUAGAGUUUAAUCAUAAAUCCACAACUGUUAGUUUAAAAUAUUUUCUAUCCGAAAACUUAUUUUAAAAUACUAAGUCAUAAAAACCAUGAGAAAACUCUUUUAAA
RNAcentral lists this long non-coding RNA (227 nucleotides) under Ananas comosus (pineapple). Its description in RNAcentral is "long non-coding RNA (ACOM_LNC044220)". The record is from RNAcentral. Lineage: Eukaryota; Viridiplantae; Streptophyta; Magnoliopsida; Poales; Bromeliaceae.